AAGACUAUACUUUCAGGGAUCAUUUCUAUAGUUUUUGACUAGUGAAAUGUGUUUCUAAAGUGUUUGGUCGUGCCAACCACGAUGACGAGACGAGAUAUUCCUUUCUGAGCGUGAAGCUGGCGGGGAAAUUUGAUUCUUUCAUACGUUCUCCUCCAUUGAUGAACGUUCGUUACUUCCUUUCGGAGUACUGAUGGAAGGAAUAUGUUCAGAGUGGU
Syngnathoides biaculeatus (alligator pipefish) is the source of this 215-nucleotide small nucleolar RNA. RefSeq annotates it as small nucleolar RNA U3. NCBI's taxonomy places the organism in Eukaryota, Metazoa, Chordata, Actinopteri, Syngnathiformes, Syngnathidae. The transcript has a single exon. The record is from RefSeq and is a predicted model, not a curated record.